This 207-nucleotide ribosomal RNA is filed under the name uncultured bacterium. RNAcentral's name for it is "partial 16S ribosomal RNA". It matches the Rfam family "Bacterial small subunit ribosomal RNA", at positions 568 to 774 of the family's 1533-position model. The record is from RNAcentral.
CGCGUAGGCGGCGGUCCAAGUCGAGUGUGAAAGCCCCGGGCUCAACCUGGGAGGUGCGCUUGAGACUGGUUCGCUGGAGUUCGGGAGAGGAGCGUGGAAUUCCCAGUGUAGAGGUGAAAUUCGUAGAUAUUGGGAAGAACACCGGUGGCGAAGGCGGCGCUCUGGACCGAGACUGACGCUGAGGCGCGAAGGCGUGGGGAGCAAACA